UACGGAGGUGGCAAGCGUUGUCCGGAAUUAUUGGGUGUAAAGCGCGCGCAGGCGGAUCAGUCAGUCUGUCUUAAAAGUUCGGAGCUUAACCCCGUGAUGGCAUUGAAACUGCUGAUCUAGAGUAUCGGAGAGGAAAGUGGAAUUCCUGGUGUAGCGGUGAAAUGCGUAGAUAUUAGGAAGAACACCAGUGGCGAAGGCGACUUUCUGGACGAAAACUGACGCUGAGGCGCGAAAGCAAGGGGAGCGAACAGG
Molecule: ribosomal RNA, 252 nt
Filed under: uncultured bacterium
Lineage: Bacteria
Description: partial 16S ribosomal RNA
Rfam family: Bacterial small subunit ribosomal RNA
Source: RNAcentral